This is a long non-coding RNA of Austrofundulus limnaeus, 297 nucleotides long. RefSeq lists it as uncharacterized. The transcript is spliced from 3 exons. Lineage: Eukaryota; Metazoa; Chordata; Actinopteri; Cyprinodontiformes; Rivulidae. The record is from RefSeq and is a predicted model, not a curated record.
UGACUGACUGACUAACUGCAGCAGAUUAACUGGAUAAACUGGAAAUAGUAACCUAACCUAACCUAACCACAUGAGACAAAGAUGGCCGACAGCUCGCUGCUCCUCUCCAUUUCUUCUUUUGUUUUUCCACUGGCUGUCAGCUAGUCCAGACUUUGUCCACCUGUGGACCAUGGAGUUAAUGGAAGGACACUGGUUUCACCAAACACAACUUACUGACUUUUACAAGGAAUCACUGUGAAGUUUCAAGAUCCAUUGAUAAGGCCAUGUACAGUACAUGGGCGUCAGAACCAUUUUAAA